This 379-nucleotide transfer-messenger RNA is filed under the name Clostridiales bacterium. It matches the Rfam family "transfer-messenger RNA". Rfam says of the family: Bacterial tmRNA, also known as 10Sa RNA or SsrA, is named for its dual tRNA and mRNA-like properties. Its role is to liberate the mRNA from a stalled ribosome. To accomplish this part of the tmRNA is used as a reading frame that ends in a translation stop signal. The record is from RNAcentral. RNAcentral also lists the same sequence under 1 other name. Lineage: Bacteria; Bacillati; Bacillota; Clostridia; Eubacteriales.
GGGGGCGCACUGGUUUCGACGGGGUCGUGGAGACUGGGAAAGCGGGUAGAGGAUUCUCGUUGGCCUCUUUAAAAAACGAGAACUGCAAGUAAUUGCAAACAACAAUCAACUCGUAGCUGCUUAAUUUAGCUACCAUCUCCCCGGUCUAUCUGUCGGCCGGACCGGAGAUGUCAGAUGACAGACCUUACCUGUCGGCAGGUUAAACGGGACAACGUCUUUGGCAAAGCUUUGCGUCACUGAUGUAUCUAUGAAGCUACCGGAGUCAGCUUCCUGUUCGUGGGAUCGCCGACGAGGGGAAUACUCCAUACACGAACUGCACCCGGAGAUGUCCUUGUUAACGUGGUUUCGGACAGGAGUUCGAUUCUCCUCGCCUCCACCA